RNAcentral lists this ribosomal RNA (713 nucleotides) under Alternaria alternata. Its description in RNAcentral is "partial large subunit ribosomal RNA". It matches the Rfam family "Eukaryotic large subunit ribosomal RNA", at positions 80 to 811 of the family's 3401-position model. Lineage: Eukaryota; Fungi; Ascomycota; Dothideomycetes; Pleosporales; Pleosporaceae. The record is from RNAcentral.
CUAGUAACGGCGAGUGAAGCGGCAACAGCUCAAAUUUGAAAUCUGGCUCUUUUAGAGUCCGAGUUGUAAUUUGCAGAGGGCGCUUUGGCUUUGGCAGCGGUCCAAGUUCCUUGGAACAGGACGUCACAGAGGGUGAGAAUCCCGUACGUGGUCGCUGGCUAUUGCCGUGUAAAGCCCCUUCGACGAGUCGAGUUGUUUGGGAAUGCAGCUCUAAAUGGGAGGUACAUUUCUUCUAAAGCUAAAUAUUGGCCAGAGACCGAUAGCGCACAAGUAGAGUGAUCGAAAGAUGAAAAGCACUUUGGAAAGAGAGUCAAACAGCACGUGAAAUUGUUGAAAGGGAAGCGCUUGCAGCCAGACUUGCUUACAGUUGCUCAUCCGGGUUUCUACCCGGUGCACUCUUCUGUAGGCAGGCCAGCAUCAGUUUGGGCGGUAGGAUAAAGGUCUCUGUCACGUACCUCCUUUCGGGGAGGCCUUAUAGGGGAGACGACAUACUACCAGCCUGGACUGAGGUCCGCGCAUCUGCUAGGAUGCUGGCGUAAUGGCUGUAAGCGGCCCGUCUUGAAACACGGACCAAGGAGUCUAACAUCUAUGCGAGUGUUUGGGUGUCAAGCCCGAGCGCGUAAUGAAAGUGAACGGAGGUGGGAACCCGCAAGGGUGCACCAUCGACCGAUCCUGAUGUCUUCCGAAGGAUCUGAGUAAGAGCAUGGCUGUUG